Long non-coding RNA from Hyla sarda, 997 nucleotides. RefSeq lists it as uncharacterized. The transcript is spliced from 4 exons. The record is from RefSeq and is a predicted model, not a curated record. Lineage: Eukaryota; Metazoa; Chordata; Amphibia; Anura; Hylidae.
GCUGAGCGGAAACGGAACUAGACCUCGCAGGAUCCCCCCCAGUAGCUGUGGGUGGAUUAACCCAAGCUGCGGCUCAUGACUGCCCAGCACUAGCCUUUACAGCCCCGGUAUUAUUACCCGGAAUGGCAGCCAACAUAUUAAAUAAAGCCGCCAUCCCAGAUAACAAUUGACUACCUGGCAAGUUUUUUAAAGCAUCCAUCCCAGCCUGAGCACUGUUACCCGCAUUGUACGGCGUCUGCUGGAUUAGUGGCCGAGCUGGGUCCGGGCUGACUGAAAUCCAUUUUCUCCAUCCUUCAGGCCGCGGACAAGGGUUCUUCUUUGCUUGACUCGCCGGCAUCUGACUGGAACCAGGGGCAGCAUCCUUAUUUAUAAACACAGCGAGUUCCCGCCGUUGCCCAGCGACCAAUCCCAUGCCAGCUGAACAUCUGGCCAGGAACAUCUGCCCAGCUACAGACACACUGCCUCUGUAUCAACAUAUGAGCUUCCCCUCGAGCAAUGCUGAUGUUAGACCCCUGCUGCUGAUCGGACACCAGGCAAUGCAGUUUUUGGCAACCGGUAUUAUAGUGAUUGAAUGACAAGAAGGAGACAGAACGGAAGCUUCUUCGAGAAUAGACUGGCGUCACAUGAAGCAUGUCCUACUUGUGACUGACAACUGGAUGACUGGAGUUUCAAAACAGUAAUUAUGAAGAUCAUCACUAUGUAUCUGCCUGCAGACUUAAAGAGGAUGGGAGAACAGGAGUGAUGGCAUAUACUAAUGACAUAACAGUAUUUAAUCUCUGGAUCCACAGUCAUCUUGGAUGAGGGCAGGUUGGAUCCUCUGGAUAAUAUGACUCCGGGGCUAUUGGCAUAACAUCUUACCUCCCAGCCAUUCAGAUGAGAUGUUCUGCAGCAGAGUGAAAGGGAUGCAAAAGAAAGUUACCAACAAGUCACUGCAAGCCAUGGAGCAGAUAAAGAUGUUUGUCGCUGUCCUCAUUGCCUUCUUCCUGAUGAUAAUAUA